This 720-nucleotide long non-coding RNA is filed under the name Homo sapiens (human). RNAcentral's name for it is "HSALNT0365770". The record is from RNAcentral. Lineage: Eukaryota; Metazoa; Chordata; Mammalia; Primates; Hominidae.
CAAAAGGCUUGUCUUAAGUCUAAGACCCUGAGAACAGGAACUCUUUCCCUAACUCAGCCUUCCAAGAUCAUUUAUGAAGUCUUGGCUGUGUACCAGCGCUGUGUAUGGAAUUCCUGGAAGAAACUGGGGUAGGAGCUCCCAGGCCAGCUGAAGUGACAAGAUUCUCAAACCUCACAGAGGGGAGAUGACAAGAAGAGAUAAUGUCCUAGGAGGCUGUGUUAUCGACAUCUGCCAGUUUUGUCAGCUCUGUAGGCACUGCUCAAAGAAGAAAGGGACACCAUCCCUAGUUUCAAGGCGCGACUUGUCCUGCCCCUGAUGGCUGUGGCUGAUCCACGAGGAAGUAAACUUGGACUGGGAAAACACAAACUGUCUCGGCCUGCAACAUACAUCCCAUUGAUAAAUGUAUUGAUAAACCCUAACAUCGAUAAGACAUCUGUCUGGACCUUUCAGGUCUGAACAGACAGGGCAGCUGCUGAGAACCUGGGGAAACUGACAAUCCGAUUCCUCUCUGUGUCUGAACCUUCCCUCUUCUCACUGCACCACCAGUGCAGGCCUCUUUGACUCACACAAGACCGUUUUUUUAGCACAAGGUCACCUCGAGGUCAACCGUCAACCCCAAUGCUACAGAAACUCACCUCUGACUGCGAACCUCCAGGUUUUUUUUUAAUCUACCAAGCAAUGAAUUGGCACUUUUCACUGAGGAAUGACUACUGGGCCCUU